RNAcentral lists this ribosomal RNA (700 nucleotides) under Microbacterium ginsengisoli. Its description in RNAcentral is "bacterial SSU rRNA". It matches the Rfam family "Bacterial small subunit ribosomal RNA", at positions 74 to 788 of the family's 1533-position model. The record is from RNAcentral. Lineage: Bacteria; Bacillati; Actinomycetota; Actinomycetes; Micrococcales; Microbacteriaceae.
GAGAGCUUGCUCUCUGGAUCAGUGGCGAACGGGUGAGUAACACGUGAGCAAUCUGCCCCUGACUCUGGGAUAACAGCUGGAAACAGCUGCUAAUACCGGAUACGAGUUGCGAAGGCAUCUUCAGCAGCUGGAAAGAAUUUCGGUCAGGGAUGAGCUCGCGGCCUAUCAGCUUGUUGGUGAGGUAAUGGCUCACCAAGGCGUCGACGGGUAGCCGGCCUGAGAGGGUGACCGGCCACACUGGGACUGAGACACGGCCCAGACUCCUACGGGAGGCAGCAGUGGGGAAUAUUGCACAAUGGGCGAAAGCCUGAUGCAGCAACGCCGCGUGAGGGACGACGGCCUUCGGGUUGUAAACCUCUUUUAGCAAGGAAGAAGCGAAAGUGACGGUACUUGCAGAAAAAGCGCCGGCUAACUACGUGCCAGCAGCCGCGGUAAUACGUAGGGCGCAAGCGUUAUCCGGAAUUAUUGGGCGUAAAGAGCUCGUAGGCGGUUUGUCGCGUCUGCUGUGAAAACCCGAGGCUCAACCUCGGGCCUGCAGUGGGUACGGGCAGACUAGAGUGCGGUAGGGGAGAUUGGAACUCCUGGUGUAGCGGUGGAAUGCGCAGAUAUCAGGAAGAACACCGAUGGCGAAGGCAGAUCUCUGGGCCGUAACUGACGCUGAGGAGCGAAAGGGUGGGGAGCAAACAGGCUUAGAUACCCU